Molecule: ribosomal RNA, 239 nt
Filed under: uncultured bacterium
Lineage: Bacteria
Description: partial 16S ribosomal RNA
Rfam family: Bacterial small subunit ribosomal RNA
Source: RNAcentral
GGCGCACGGGUGCGCAACGCGUAUAGAACCUACCCUGUACAGGGGGAUAGCCCAGAGAAAUUUGGAUUAAUACCCCGUGGUAAAUAUGAAUGGCAUCAUUUAUAUUUUAAAGUUUUCGGACGGUACGGGAUGGCUAUGCGUCCUAUUAGUUAGAUGGUGAGGUAACGGCUCACCAUGGCAGCGAUAGGUAGGGGCCCUGAGAGGGGGAUCCCCCACACUGGUACUGAGACGCGGACCAG